Molecule: ribosomal RNA, 499 nt
Filed under: uncultured bacterium
Lineage: Bacteria
Description: bacterial SSU rRNA
Rfam family: Bacterial small subunit ribosomal RNA
Source: RNAcentral
AUUGAACGCUGGCGGAAUGCUUUACACAUGCAAGUCGAACGGCAGCACGGGGGCAACCCUGGUGGCGAGUGGCGAACGGGUGAGUAAUACAUCGGAACGUGCCCAAUCGUGGGGGAUAACUACGCGAAAGCGUAGCUAAUACCGCAUACGAUCUACGGAUGAAAGCGGGGGAUCGCAAGACCUCGCGCGAAUGGAGCGGCCGAUGGCAGAUUAGGUAGUUGGUGGGGUAAAGGCNCACCAAGCCGUCGAUCUGUAGCUGGUCUGAGAGGACGACCAGCCACACUGGGACUGAGACACGGCCCAGACUCCUACGGGAGGCAGCAGUGGGGAAUUUUGGACAAUGGGCGCAAGCCUGAUCCAGCCAUUCCGCGUGCAGGAUGAAGGCCCUCGGGUUGUAAACUGCUUUUGUACGGAACAAAAGCGCUGAGUUAAUACCUCGGCGUCAUGACGGUACCGUAAGAAUAAGCACCGGCUAACUACGUGCCAGCCGCCGCUGUAA